This 558-nucleotide ribosomal RNA is filed under the name Nocardia cyriacigeorgica. Its description in RNAcentral is "bacterial SSU rRNA". It matches the Rfam family "Bacterial small subunit ribosomal RNA", at positions 265 to 835 of the family's 1533-position model. Lineage: Bacteria; Bacillati; Actinomycetota; Actinomycetes; Mycobacteriales; Nocardiaceae. The record is from RNAcentral.
CGACCACAAGGGGGCCUAGUAGCCGGCCUGAGAGGGCGACCGGCCACACUGGGACUGAGACACGGCCCAGACUCCUACGGGAGGCAGCAGUGGGGAAUAUUGCACAAUGGGCGAAAGCCUGAUGCAGCGACGCCGCGUGAGGGAUGACGGCCUUCGGGUUGUAAACCUCUUUCGACAGGGACGAAGCGCAAGUGACGGUACCUGUAGAAGAAGCACCGGCCAACUACGUGCCAGCAGCCGCGGUAAUACGUAGGGUGCGAGCGUUGUCCGGAAUUACUGGGCGUAAAGAGCUUGUAGGCGGCUUGUCGCGUCGAUCGUGAAAACUUGGGGCUCAACCCCAAGCUUGCGGUCGAUACGGGCAGGCUUGAGUACUUCAGGGGAGACUGGAAUUCCUGGUGUAGCGGUGAAAUGCGCAGAUAUCAGGAGGAACACCGGUGGCGAAGGCGGGUCUCUGGGAAGUAACUGACGCUGAGAAGCGAAAGCGUGGGUAGCGAACAGGAUUAGAUACCCUGGUAGUCCACGCCGUAAACGGUGGGUACUAGGUGUGGUUGUAAACCU